This 783-nucleotide ribosomal RNA is filed under the name uncultured bacterium. RNAcentral's name for it is "bacterial SSU rRNA". It matches the Rfam family "Bacterial small subunit ribosomal RNA", at positions 8 to 773 of the family's 1533-position model. The record is from RNAcentral.
GAGGGUUUGAUCCUGGCUCAGGAUGAACGCUGGCGGCGUGCCUAAUACAUGCAAGUAGAACGCUGAAGCUUGGUGCUUGCACCGAGCGGAUGAGUUGCGAACGGGUGAGUAACGCGUAGGUAACCUGCCUCUUAGCGGGGGAUAACUAUUGGAAACGAUAGCUAAUACCGCAUAAAAGUCGACAUCGCAUGAUGUUGACUUGAAAGGUGCAAUUGCAUCACUAAGAGAUGGACCUGCGUUGUAUUAGCUAGUUGGUGAGGUAACGGCUCACCAAGGCGACGAUACAUAGCCGACCUGAGAGGGUGAUCGGCCACACUGGGACUGAGACACGGCCCAGACUCCUACGGGAGGCAGCAGUAGGGAAUCUUCGGCAAUGGGGGCAACCCUGACCGAGCAACGCCGCGUGAGUGAAGAAGGUUUUCGGAUCGUAAAGCUCUGUUGUAAGAGAAGAACGAGUGUGAGAGUGGAAAGUUCACACUGUGACGGUAACUUACCAGAAAGGGACGGCUAACUACGUGCCAGCAGCCGCGGUAAUACGUAGGUCCCGAGCGUUAUCCGGAUUUAUUGGGCGUAAAGCGAGCGCAGGCGGUUAGAUAAGUCUGAAGUUAAAGGCUGUGGCUUAACCAUAGUACGCUUUGGAAACUGUUUAACUUGAGUGCAGAAGGGGAGAGUGGAAUUCCAUGUGUAGCGGUGAAAUGCGUAGAUAUAUGGAGGAACACCGGUGGCGAAAGCGGCUCUCUGGUCUGUAACUGACGCUGAGGCUCGAAAGCGUGGGGAGCAAAC